CCUACGGGAGGCUGCAGUGAGGAAUAUUGGUCAAUGGCCGGAAGGCUGAACCAGCCAUGCCGCGUGAAGGUCAGUGCCCUAUGGGCGUUAAACUUCUUUUAUAAGGGAAUAAAGUGCGGGACGUGUCCCGUUUUGUAUGUACCUUAUGAAUAAGGAUCGGCUAACUCCGUGCCAGCAGCCGCGGUAAUACGGAGGAUCCGAGCGUUAUCCGGAUUUAUUGGGUUUAAAUGGUGCGUAGGCGGCCUUUUAAGUCAGCGGUGAAAGUCUGUGGCUCAACCAUAGAAUUGCCGUUGAAACUGGGAGGCUUGAGUAUGUUUGAGGCAGGCGGAAUGCGUGGUGUAGCGGUGAAAUGCUUAGAUAUCACGCAGAACCCCGAUUGCGAAGGCAGCCUGCCAAGCCAUGACUGACGCUGAUGCACGAAAGCGUGGGGAUCAAACAGGAUUAGAUACCCGUGUAGUC
Molecule: ribosomal RNA, 459 nt
Filed under: uncultured bacterium
Lineage: Bacteria
Description: partial 16S ribosomal RNA
Rfam family: Bacterial small subunit ribosomal RNA
Source: RNAcentral